RNAcentral lists this long non-coding RNA (350 nucleotides) under Gossypium raimondii (Peruvian cotton). RNAcentral's name for it is "long non-coding RNA (GRAI_LNC007406)". Lineage: Eukaryota; Viridiplantae; Streptophyta; Magnoliopsida; Malvales; Malvaceae. The record is from RNAcentral.
UCAUGAAGCGUUCGACUUCACCGAUUGAAUUUCUUUUUAUUUUAAACGCCAACAACUUCAUUUUCCUUCCAUUUUCGUUCUUUUGUUUUACCCAUAUUUUACCAUGAUUAUUUCUUUAAUUCCUUGCUGUUUUCUUGUUGCAGGAACGUGCUUACAACAUUCCUAGAUCCGUAACAUACGAAGAUAGUCUGUUUCGUUAGGCUACAUCGUAUCAUCUGGUAUCAGAGCAUAGGUUGGAAUUGUUGUACUUUUCUUCUCCAACAAGAAAAUUCAAAAUUCAAAACAAAAAUAUAUAUAUCAGUUUCAAAAAUUCAAAAAAAAACAACAACAAAAAGAGAAAGAAAAAUCAG